GCAAGUCGAGCGCGGGAAGCAGACAAUCAGUCCUUCGGGGUGGUGCGUCUGUGGAACGAGCGGCGGAUGGGUGAGUAACACGUGGGCGAACCUGCCUGUAAGCUUGGGAUAACUCGUGGAAACGCGAGCUAAUAACCGAAUAAAAAGUUUAGUUCGCAUGAACAGACGAUGAAAGACGGCUUUUGCUGUCACUUACAGAUGGGCCCGCGUCGCAUUAGCUAGUUGGUGGGGUAAAAGCUCACCAAAGCAACGAUGCGUAGCCGACCUGAGAGGGUGAUCGGCCACACUGGGACUGAGACACGGCCCAGACUCCUACGGGAGGCAGCAGUAGGGAAUCUUCCGCAAUGGACGAAAGUCUGACGGAGCGACGCCGCGUGAGUGAUGAAGGUCUUCGGAUCGUAAAACUCUGUUGUCGGGGAAGAACAAGUAUCGGCCUAAUACGCCGGUACCUUGACGGUACCUGAUUAGAAAGCCCCGGCUAACUACGUGCCAGCAGCUGC
RNAcentral lists this ribosomal RNA (500 nucleotides) under uncultured bacterium. RNAcentral describes it as "bacterial SSU rRNA". It matches the Rfam family "Bacterial small subunit ribosomal RNA", at positions 57 to 518 of the family's 1533-position model. The record is from RNAcentral.